RNAcentral lists this long non-coding RNA (4535 nucleotides) under Homo sapiens (human). Its description in RNAcentral is "HSALNT0215555". The record is from RNAcentral. Lineage: Eukaryota; Metazoa; Chordata; Mammalia; Primates; Hominidae.
CAGUCAUCUCCUUAGCAUACAAAUUAGACACUCUUAAGUGAUACUAAAAGAUUCCAAGGUUUUUGGGGAGCUAUGUGCCAGGAAAAAGGGGGAAAAUGAUGACAAAAUACAUAUAUAUAUAUAUAAUUACAAUUACAGUAUCACAGUGGGCAGCUAUGGAACGGAAGUAAGGGAAUCCUCUUUGAGAUGAUUGGACGGUUUGAUAACUCUCAACCAAUUAUGAAACCAGGAGGAAAAGCAUUUGGGGAAGAGGAAAUGAGACCUGAUUGAUAAAUGCUACACGUGUACAUCUCAUUGAGCUCAAGGACAGAGCUUCCCCUCUCCUCACUGUCUGCAGUGCCUGGUCCAGGCAGGACCUGCCAUCAAGUCAAUGCUGAAAAUGUUGGCCACACAAAAACAUCUGCACCGUCGGAAGGAACAGAAGCUCCAGAACAAUGCCUGGGCUUCAAGAUCCAAUGGAACUUUGUCAGUUGAACGCCAGUCUUGAAUCCAGGUCUUCUUGCUUCCAAAUGUGGUCCUCUGCUGUCUCAUCAGCCUCUUGGGGCCUCACGCUGGGCUCCAGUUCGGGGUGUGAGGAGACGCCAAAUGCUUCUCAGAAUGGCCUAUCUGGGAUCUCGCCCAGUGCCUUUCUCCCUCCUCUUGCUAUUUUUCGUGUCUUUUCUCUUCCCCCUCUCCCUGUGUCGGGCGUGUUUACUUGCAGCAGCCAGAAAGACCACCUUCCACCCGCCCUCUCUUCGGUUCAGCUGCACCUCUCUACUCCAAUAAACCGUUUGCAUUCCAUCUGGUGAGCGUUUGCUCUGAAGACAUUUCCUUGUCAAUCUCUCCCGCCACAUUAAAAAUCUGUCAUUACGAUUGCAUCGCCGCCUGGCUCCUGAGAUUUCUGACUGCUUUAUUGCUCUCCUCAUUUUUUUCUCUUGCCUGCUACAGCCGAGAAGCAGAAAUAAAGGUUUGUUGUUGAAACAUGGCCGGGAGGAAAGUAGGAGGCACACAUCUGUCAAGACAUUACCUUUCUUCAACCAGGGAUUAAGGUGUUUUACGGCACUCGCUACUGAGCAGUCACACUGAAUAAAUUUUCUCAGUAGAACAUAAAAAUGAACUCAUACAUUUUGAACCAAGUUUCUUCUUUCCAGCCAGCCCCGAUCAUUAUGCAGUGGCACCCGCAUACAGGGGCGCCAGCGAGUUAGGAAGUUUCUCAGACCCAUCCCACCUCCCGCCAAAGCUGCAUUAUUUAAAUGCCCGUUGAGGCGAAGGAAGCAUCGGGAUUAAGGGGAGAUGGUGGCUGUGAACACUCAGGCUUCCUCAGCUUGUGGGAGAGAACAGAAAGAUUUAAAAGAAACCUGGCCCCAGGUGUCCUCACUCAGGCCUGGCAAUGCCCGAUCUUGCUUUAAGAGCCGGAUCAAAUCCCUUUCUGUGGGGAGUGGCCCCUGGUUCCUCCACCAUCCUGUCCCCUCCUCCCUGCCCUGUAGGAGCACUUAUGUGACAACUGCCUGUUUCACAGCCCAUCCUCCUACUUUCUUCUCUAUCCCGGAACCUCAUGCUUACAAGACUUUACAGUGGCUAUUAAGAGCGAUGUAACCAUAAUAUUUUGGAGGGCUUUGUUUUGCAUUCUAAACUUUGUACAUGGAUUAGCCCAUUUAGACUUCCCAGCCACCCAUUAAAGUAGGUCAUUCUGCUCUCAUCUUAUAGAUGAGGAAACUGGGAUAGAAAGUCGUGUUAAGCACCUUGCAGAAAGUCAAAGAGCUAGCCAGGGACAGACCUAGGAUUUGAACCCAGCAUCAGAACCCCUACUUCUAAGACCAGCAGUCUGUUGUUAAGUGCUGUGCUAUUCUGCCAAGGGCAUAGGGCAUGGGGACAGAGGAGUUUAGGAAAGGCUUUGAAACAACUUUCUGGCACAGCAGCGUCUUGGUAAUGAGCAAAGGUGCCUGGGAGCGCUAUCUUGUCCUGGUACCCUCUGCCCUGGGGGCUGCCACAGCCCCACCCAAAGUUACAGAGCAACAGGAUUGGUGACCUGGGCUGAUGCUGCAUCUGAACUCCCUUUGUGACUUUCUCCACUAUUUCUCUCUCUCUCUCUCUUUCACACACACACACACACACACACACACACAUACACACAAUGUCCUCUCCACCUUUCUGACUAUGCUAUUCUCUCUACCUGGAAUCCUGAAAUUCUCUCUAUUAUUUUUUUAAAGGUAGGGAAAACUAUUCAUCCUUCAAAACCUUUUACUUUCUGUGAAAUCUUUCUUUACCCUUCAAGAAUAAAAUACAGACUCCCCACAACAACAACAACAAAAACAACACCCCGCGUGUCUUUUCUCAUCCCUGAGUAAUGGCACCCACCGAGUUGUAUUAUACAGGAUCUGUUUUCAGGUCAGUCUCCCCGAUAACCAUCACAAAAUUCAGCACCCCGAUACACACUGAGCCCUUAGUAAUCUUCAUAAUAACCCUAAGAGAUAGCUCUGCUCUCAUCUCUUAAACUGAAGACCUUCUGUUUAGCACCUCAAUACCAUUGUGUUCUCUGGAUGGCCUAAUGGAACCAGCAGUGCAGUGAGGUCUGGGAGCAAGACUUGGGGAUCUGGAGAUUGCCUGGAAUUGAGGGCUGGAAGCUGGUUGUGGUUUCUAUGGUUUCUAAGAGCUGCCCUUGAACCAUGCAUCCAGACACCCUCAAGGCAGGGCUUGCAGGAGGCACCUCCUUAUCACCAGACCUAGGCUCAGGACCUGGCAGAUAGUGCCCGCAGGGAAAGAAACUCUGCUUUGCUACCAGAAACCUACUUCUAAGACCAGGCUUGGUUUUCCUGGAUGGCCUUGCUGCUUGCAUUGCUUAUAAUGGUAAAAGUCUGAAAGCAGCCGGGAUGUUCAGCUAAACAGGAAUCCCUAUGAUAAUCCAGUCAUGCAAAAGAGCCCUAUGCAAUCGUGAAGAAAAAUGAGGUCACUCUAAAUGUGCUGAUACAGAAGAGUUAACAAAAUUAACUAUUGUUAGCUGAAUAAAAAGCAAGAGGCAGAACAGCGUAUCACACAAAGAGACAAACAUGCAUGAUAACAUGUAGACUACUCCUGAAAGAAUGAAUAAAAACCAGUGGUCAUCCCCAAAACAAAAAAUAAUUUUUCUUGUCUAUCCAUUUUAUGUAGUUUGAAUUUUUGGCAAUGUGUAGGUCUUAUUUGCAAUAAAAUAUGAGUUAAUUUUAGGUAAGUGCUUUAUGAAAUCCUAAGGACCACCCUGAAGCGCAAACAGCAUCACUAGAGUGGAUAUGCCCAGCCAUGGGUUUGUGAGAAUUGGGGAACUCCAGCUCAGUGUAGACAGGCUGGGACACAAGUAAGGACUCACCCUCUUAGGCUGAGCUGGCCCUGGACUAAGGGACGCUUUGCUUAUCUUCCUUGUGGCCUAGGCACUGAGCGAAUGACCCAUGUUCAUUUUUGCUUCCCAGCUCCUGUCUAUUCUGAUCGGAUAAACGGGCCAGUUGGCAGGACCAUUGUGAUUAACCUUGGCUGAUCCCUGAGUGAAUGAUCUUCUGGAUACAGGUGGUAGGCCUUGAGCUGAUUUGCCACAAGGUAGAAGUCUCAAUGUCCCUCAUUACCCAACAAACCAUUAGGCAGGGAAUGACAAUACCAUGGCUCAGAUUGUUUCCCGAUAGCCGUCAUGGCCUGUCUCCUACAUAGAAUAGCACGCAUCUUGCUGUGAGUCAAUCCCUUGCCCACUGGCUGCAAGUCAUGUGAAAUUCAAUUAACUUUCUACAGGAGGAAUAAAAGCAAGGAAGAAGCUGCCACACCUCGAGAGCCAACAUGUUACUGAGCACUGUGGUCAAUCAGUAUUUUUAUCAGAUUAAAUUAAACAUUAUCCCAAUGACAAGUCCACAUGGCGAGCGUUAUCAUCCGCAUUCUACAUACCCAGUUGCUGAGGCCCAGCUGCAAGGUGGUGUAGAGGACAGGAUGGGGGAGCCUUUCCAUUUGAUCUGUCUGCUCCGUCUGUGAGGUGAGAGUGCGGGGGCUCUCAGUUUGAAUAUUGUCUCCACCAGGGUCAAGGGGGGCUACCUGGGGGAUUAUAUCACUUCUCUAUGCUUCAGUUGCCUCAGCUGUAAUGUGCUGCUUACGCCACUGCGCUAUUGUGAGGAUGAAAUGAGAUACCGCUUAAAGGCCCAUCGUGCUUGGCAUACAGUAAAUGCUCAAUAAACCCUACUCAUCAUUAUAAUCCAACUUGCCAAAAUGUUCUCCUUUUGGCUUUACUCCCCAAUCAGAGUUCACACAUGCAGAGAUGUGGGCCCUUCCUUAAGUUUCCCUUUCUUCCUAUCCCCACCCAAUUUCUUCAAAUUUGUUUUGUUAGUUAGAUUUUUAUUUUCUUGUGACCAUUUUGUAAAACUGGUUUUGGAGUCCAAAAUCCUGUCAACUUGAGCACAUUAAUCUGCAAUCCCCAUAAGGAUGUGUAAUGUGAUUUAUAGAUGCAUUUUCUUUAGCUUAACAAUAUCACGUUCACAUUUCGGCCUCGACGGCCUUCAUCACCUUGCCAAACUCUGGAAUUUUAUUGUUGGAUCAAAUAAACUGUG